AACAGUUAUAAUCUACUUGAUGUUUUUAAUAUAAGGAUAACUACGGAAAAUCUGUAGCUAAUACUUGUGAAAAUACCUUUUGAUAUAUACAUAUGUAUGUAUCAUUAAGGUAUGUAUUUGUUAGAUAUAAGAAUAAAAUAAAUAUAAUUGAAUUAUAACAAAGAAGAAACACAUAAAAUAUGUGUAUUAUCAAUCGAGUAUCUGACCUAUCAGCUUUUGAUGUUAGGGUAUUGACCUAACAUGGCUAUGACGGGUAACGGGGAAUUAGAGUUCGAUUCCGGAGAGGGAGCCUGAGAAAUAGCUACCACAUCUAAGGAAGGCAGCAGGCGCGUAAAUUACCCAAUUCUAAAAAAGAGAGGUAGUGACAAGAAAUAACAAUACAAUAUCGAAAAAUGAUUUUGUAAUUGGAAUGAUAGGAAUUUACAAGGUUCCUAGAGAAACAAUUGGAGGGCAAGUCUGGUGCCAGCAGCCGCGGUAAUUCCAGCUCCAAUAGCAUAUAUUAAAAUUGUUGCAGUUAAAACGUUCGUAGUUGAAUAUUAAAGAAUCCGAUGUUUCAUUUAAACUGGUUUGGGAAAACCAAAUAUAUUAUAUAUUUUGCUUUGUUCAAAAUAAGGUUUUCUAAUAAAUUAUGUUUUUAUCAGAUAUGACAGAAUCUUUUUUAAAAUCUCUUCAAUAUGCUUUUAUUGCUUUUGAGAGGUUUUGUUACUUUGAGUAAAAUUAAGUGUUCAUAACAGACGGGUAGUCAUGAUUGAGUUCAUUGUGUUUGAAUACUACAGCAUGGAAUAACAAAUAUGAAUAAGCUAAUUAUUUUUUUUUUUUCAUUAUUUUUUUUGAUAUUCUUAUUAGCUUAGUUACGAUUAAUAGGAGUAGCUUUGGGGGCAUUCGUAUUCAGAUGUCAGAGGUGAAAUUCUAAGAUUUUCUGGAGACGGACUACUGCGAAAGCAUUUGCCUAAUCUAUUUCCAUUAAUCAAGAACGAAAGUUAAGGGAGUGAAGACGAUCAGAUACCGUCGUAAUCUUAACCAUAAACUAUACCGACUAGGUGUUGGAUGAAUAUAAAAAAUAUAUAAAUAUGUAGCAUUUCUUAGGGAAUGUUGAUUUUAUAUUAGAAUUGCUUCCUUCAGUACCUUAUGAGAAAUCAAAGUCUUUGGGUUCUGGGGCGAGUAUUCGCGCAAGCGAGAAAGUUAAAAGAAUUGACGGAAGGGCACCACCAGGCGUGGAGCUUGCGGCUUAAUUUGACUCAACACGGGAAAACUCACUAGUUUAAGACAAGAGUAGGAUUGACAGAUUAAUAGCUCUUUCUUGAUUUCUUGGAUGGUGAUGCAUGGCCGUUUUUAGUUCGUGAAUAUGAUUUGUCUGGUUAAUUCCGAUAACGAACGAGAUCUUAACCUGCUAAUUAGCGGUAAGUACACUAUAUUUUUAUUUGAAAUUGAAUAUAGGUAAUUAUACAUGUUUAUUCAGUGUUCAAAUUAGGAUAUUUUUUUAUUAAAAUAUUCUUUUCCCUGUUCUACUAUAAUAAUUUGUUUUUUUUUACUCUAUUUCUCUCUUCUUUUAAGAAUGUACUUGUUUGAUUAAAUAAAGCUUCUUAGAGGAACAGUGUGUAUCUAACACAAGGAAGUUUAAGGCAACAACAGGUCUGUGAUGUCCUUAGAUAAACUAGGCUGCACGCGUGCUACAAUGAUAUAUAUAACAAGUUGUUAAAAAUGUACUUAUAAAUAAGUGUGUACAGUUUUUCCUGUACUGAAAAGUAUAGGUAAUCUUUAUCAGUAUAUAUCGUAAUUGGGAUAGAUUAUUGCAAUUAUUAAUCUUGAACGAGGAAUGCCUAGUAAGCAUGAUUCAUUAGAUUGUGCUGACUACGUCCCUGCCCUUUGUACACACCGCCCGUCGCUCCUACCGAUUGAAAGAUAUGAUAAAUUGUUUGGAUAUGAAUUAAAAUAAUGAAAUUUUAUAUUUCUGAUUUUUUCUAGAAGAACUGUAAAUCCUAUCUUUUAAAGGAAGGAGAAGUCGUAACAAGGUUUCCGUAGGUGAACCUGCGGAAG
Molecule: ribosomal RNA, 2037 nt
Filed under: Plasmodium falciparum MaliPS096_E11
Lineage: Eukaryota; Apicomplexa; Aconoidasida; Haemosporida; Plasmodiidae
Description: SSU rRNA
Rfam family: Eukaryotic small subunit ribosomal RNA
Source: RNAcentral